CUGCUGCUGGCAGUGCAGCAGAGAGCAGGCACUGGCAUUGCCGGCCUUCAACUCACUUCUCUUUGCUCUGGUAGAUGAACAAAGGCGGUCUGCCCAACGUUUGUACUAUGCCUCUCCCACCUAAUCUGUGUUUCAGCUGGCCAAGCAAUCACCUGGCAUGCUUCCUACACUUCCAACAUUGCUUCAACUAAAGCAAACAAAAAGCCCUACGUAAUAGUAACUCCACCUGUCUCUGCUGGUAGGCUUUAGCUUGCGGGUGCUUUGGGGGGGGGACCCACAAGUUGACAGAACCCAGGUCUUUUAUCCAUGUGCUAAAACUAGCUGUAGUGCUUUAGCAGUAGGAAAAAAAACAUGAGGCUUAGCAAACGAGAGAAACAAUCAGCCUCGUUAAAGAAACUCGUCAAUGGAAGAACAGCCUUUGCACCACUUUUGUAUUUACAUUCUCUACAGAGAGUGAACUUUGGUGUUGGUUAUUAAUGUUCUAGUGCUAGGCAGUGUCUCACACAUUGUUAAAUAAAUAUUUUAAGUGCAAAUAAGGACUUGCUACAGAGGGAGCCUUCAUCAUGUUCACAUUUCUUACUAUGAAGGUGCAGAUAUGACACUUGGCAUUUUUUACUGUAAUCUCCCAAACAUUGAGGCAAGCCCACAGACAGCGAGAGGUGAACAGUUCAUACCUGUGGGCAGGAAGCAAUGAAUACCCACAGUAUAUAGAGAAAGUCAGUCUCACUUCCUUAGAAACUUUUCUGUAAUAACUCUUGUGAUGUAACGCCUCUUCCCUGAAGGGCUGAGAAAUAAAAGUCCCUGUUGCUUGGCUGUGGGUGGUUGGUGUGGGUUUUUUCUGUUUGGAUUUUUUGUUGUUGUUUGUUUUUUAUGAUUCAUAUUCAAAGUCACCGUUAAGGCAGUGAAGGGCUGCUGCACGUGAUGUGCCAGAAGAGGCAGGGAGGUGGAUCAGGAGGGGAUCUCAGCACUGUUGCCAGCUGGAUGAAUGGGGCACUUACAGAAAAUACAGAACCACAGAACUGCUAUGUCACAAAGAUCUGGAUCAAAGCAAAUGCUGCAAUUAAGUAAGCAAUAAUGUAGAAGCUGCUGGG
RNAcentral lists this long non-coding RNA (1091 nucleotides) under Phasianus colchicus (ring-necked pheasant). RNAcentral's name for it is "lncRNA (ENSPCLG00000002200.1)". The record is from RNAcentral. Lineage: Eukaryota; Metazoa; Chordata; Aves; Galliformes; Phasianidae.